UGAAUACGUUCCCGGGUCUUGUACACACCGCCCGUCAAGCCAUGGAAGCUGGGUGUACCUAAAGUCGGUAACCGUAAGGAGCCGCCUAGGGUAAAACUAGUGACUGGGGCU
Molecule: ribosomal RNA, 111 nt
Filed under: uncultured bacterium
Lineage: Bacteria
Description: partial 16S ribosomal RNA
Rfam family: Bacterial small subunit ribosomal RNA
Source: RNAcentral